This is a long non-coding RNA of Panicum virgatum (switchgrass), 829 nucleotides long. RefSeq lists it as uncharacterized. NCBI's taxonomy places the organism in Eukaryota, Viridiplantae, Streptophyta, Magnoliopsida, Poales, Poaceae. The record is from RefSeq and is a predicted model, not a curated record. The transcript is spliced from 3 exons.
AAGAAAUUGCGCUAGUGAUGUCUGAUCUUCCCAGGAUUUGAUAGUGUCCUUCAAAUCAACAGAAAACAUCAAAAAGGAUGUAACUUUAUUCAGAGUGUACAGUUCAUCUUUAGCGGAGCUAGAACAUAAACCAUGAGAGGCCGUUAGUACUAAUUUAUUUCUUAAUAUGCUCAUUUUCUUAUUUUAAAUUUCUAAACAUCAAUUAGUAGCGGUUAAUGGAUUUUGCAAUUGAUAGGGGGGCAUAUGGCCCCUUUGGCGUACAUAUAGUAGCCGAGCUUUGGAAAAUGCUAUUUUAAUAGAAAGAAUAGGAGACCAUGUACCAACUAACCGUGUCAAUGUUUUACUUUGAAUGUGGAAUUGCUAUGCUAGAUUUACUUAACCCAGAGGAUAAAAGACUUCUUGAGUCCCUUGCUAUUGAUCUACAAACUCUUCGAGCAGCUACAAAUGACUUCCACAUAGACAACAAGAUUGAAUAAGGAGGUUUUGACACAGUUUAUAAGACUGUCACAGAAUUCAAACUAGUGGAUCAUCGAGUUGAAGAACGAGCUAGUUUUGUUGGCCAAGUUGCAACAUAGGGUACCACCAAAAUAAGAGCCUGCACAACCUCAUCUAUGAUGCGGAGAGACGCACUCGGGUCGAUCCAUUAAUGCUCAUUGAUGGCAUUGCUCGAGGCCUGUAGUACCUUCAUGAAGGUUCACGUGCCAAGAUUGUUCAUUGGGAUUUGAAAGCAACAAAUGUCCUAUUGGACAAUGCAUUGACACCCAAAAUUUCUGAUUUCAGGUUAGCAAGAAUUUUUGGAGGCGACCAAUCGCACGAGGUGACGUGCCAU